This 72-nucleotide transfer RNA is filed under the name Fundulopanchax scheeli. Its description in RNAcentral is "tRNA-Thr". It matches the Rfam family "tRNA". From Rfam's summary of the family: Transfer RNA (tRNA) molecules are approximately 80 nucleotides in length. Their secondary structure includes four short double-helical elements and three loops (D, anti-codon, and T loops). Lineage: Eukaryota; Metazoa; Chordata; Actinopteri; Cyprinodontiformes; Nothobranchiidae. The record is from RNAcentral.
GCAUUGGUAGCUCAAAGUUAAAGCAUCAGUCUUGUAAACUGAAAAAUAAGGGUUAAAAUCCCUUCCAACGCU